This is an RNA transcript of Cebus imitator (Panamanian white-faced capuchin), 4484 nucleotides long. It is a transcript of the gene named upstream binding protein 1, with no coding region annotated. Lineage: Eukaryota; Metazoa; Chordata; Mammalia; Primates; Cebidae. The record is from RefSeq and is a predicted model, not a curated record. The transcript has 17 exons.
CCCGGCUGGGAACUGCCGCGUGGGCGGGGCCGGAUUGCACUGUCCAGGCAGUUCCUGGGCCGCGAGGCGCGGGGAGUGGCCCUAAGCGCGGGGCUGUGUGGGGAGGGCCGGGGCGUGAGGCGAACGCGGGGGCGGGGGCGGAGCCGGGGCGGGGCCGGGGGAGGCGGAAGCGGCGCGCGAGCCUAAGUCGGAGCCGCCUGGAACCUAGUGUCCGGGCCGGCGGAGCGGCGUCGGCGGGGUUGGCCGUAGCGGCGUGGCGCUAGAGCCUGGGCGGGCCAGGGGCGGGGAGUCAAGGCUGGGGAGCGGGUGACGGGCGGGCGGAGGGCUUGCUCCCGUUUGGUCCUCGGAGCGCCCCGAGGUCCGGUCUCCGCACAGUCCCGGAGGAGGAUGCGACCGGGGGGUCCGGGGUGGGGCGGGCGGCAGCGGCUGCAGCGCUAGCGGCGCGGGGACUGGGCGGCGGCGGCGGCAUGUGGCGCGGGACCGGUGUCCGCGGGAGGGAGGCGCUGCCGGCGGCCCGGCCGCUCCCGCUGCAGUUGCUCACUGGGCUCGCCGUGCCCUGCCAGUGGGACCCCCGCAGCUCCGGUCCCGGCCGCCGCUGGUGACCACUCGCCGCCCCCCCCUCCCCCGGAGGCUUCACCCGCGCCCUCCCUCAGGACGCGCCAGCGGGGCUCCGGCCCCUUCGCCCCGGACGCGGAGGCCGCGCUGUGCGGGGCGACGGCGAGGCCGGAAGAUGGCCUGGGUGCUCAAGAUGGACGAGGUGAUCGAGUCCGGGCUGGUGCACGACUUCGACGCCAGCCUCUCGGGCAUCGGGCAGGAGUUGGGCGCCGGCGCCUACAGCAUGAGUGAUGUCUUGGCAUUGCCCAUUUUCAAGCAGGAAGAUUCCAGCCUUCCAUUGGAUGGUGAAACAGAGCAUCCACCCUUUCAGUAUGUGAUGUGUGCUGCAACGUCGCCAGCAGUAAAACUGCAUGAUGAAACACUUACUUACUUGAACCAAGGUCAGUCUUACGAAAUUCGGAUGCUAGAUAAUCGGAAAAUGGGUGAUAUGCCUGAGAUCAGUGGAAAAUUAGUAAAGAGCAUCAUAAGGGUUGUAUUCCAUGACAGACGGCUACAAUACACAGAGCAUCAGCAACUUGAAGGAUGGAAGUGGAAUCGCCCAGGAGACAGACUUCUUGAUUUAGAUAUUCCAAUGUCUGUGGGAAUAAUUGACACAAGGACAAAUCCAAGCCAGUUAAAUGCGGUUGAAUUUCUGUGGGACCCAGCAAAACGCACCUCUGCUUUCAUUCAGGUGCACUGCAUCAGCACAGAAUUUACUCCACGGAAGCACGGAGGUGAAAAGGGAGUGCCCUUUAGGAUCCAGGUUGACACCUUUAAGCAGAAUGAAAAUGGGGAAUACACAGAUCAUCUACACUCAGCUAGCUGCCAAAUAAAAGUUUUUAAGCCUAAAGGUGCAGACAGGAAACAAAAAACUGACAGAGAGAAGAUGGAAAAGAGAACAGCUCAUGAAAAAGAAAAGUAUCAGCCGUCUUAUGAUACCACUAUCCUCACAGAGAUGAGGCUUGAGCCUAUAAUUGAAGAUGCAGUUGAACAUGAGCAGAAAAAGUCCAGCAAGCGGACUUUGCCAGCAGACUACGGUGAUUCUCUGGCAAAGCGAGGCAGUUGUUCUCCGUGGCCUGAUGCCCCCACAGCCUAUGUGAAUAACAGCCCUUCCCCAGCACCCACUUUCACCUCCCCACAGCAGAGCACUUGCAGUGUCCCGGACAGCAAUUCUUCUUCCCCAAAUCAUCAGGGAGAUGGAGCUACACAGGUCUCUGGUGAACAAAUUCAGCCUUCAGCUACAAUCCAGGAAACACAGCAAUGGCUGCUCAAAAACAGAUUCUCUUCCUACACAAGAGUGUUUUCUAAUUUUUCAGGUGCCGACUUAUUAAAACUGACAAAGGAGGAUUUAGUUCAAAUUUGUGGUGCAGCCGAUGGAAUUCGGCUCUAUAAUUCACUGAAGUCAAGGGCAGGCCCAGAUAUGAUGCAGGCACUGAUGAGGGCAGAGGUAGACUGUAAGACUGGUAGAAAUGCACAUGGGCAGUACUGAUUUCUUGAAGACGACUGGGUUUGUUGCCAAGAAAACAAAACUUCUAAUUUAGGUCGGUUAGGCCCCGUUUAACCAUCUAUGUCUGCCGGGAGCAGCCAAGCAGCACAGUGCUGCAAGGGCAGCAGCAAGCUGCAGGCAGUGCAAGCGAGAAUGGCAGUGGGGCACCCUAUGUUUAUCAUGCAAUCUACUUGGAAGAAAUGAUAGCCUCAGAAGUCGCUCGAAAACUUGCGCUGGUGUUUAAUAUUCCUUUCCAUCAAAUUAAUCAGGUUUACAGACAGGGUCCCACUGGUAUUCACAUUCUUGUUAGUGAUCAGAUGGUUCAGAACUUUCAAGAUGAGAGUUGUUUUUUAUUCUCCACCGUAAAAGCUGAAAAUAGUGAUGGCAUCCACAUAAUUUUGAAGUGAUGUCUUAUAUAGACUGAACUAUAUUCAGUACCAAAUAGUCACGCUUACAAGUGUGUGAAGACUGAAUCCAAGAAGUCUUGGGAUUGGAUUUUACCAUAUGAAAUGUUUCAUAUUGAAAACACAAGAUGAUCUUUCUAAUGAGCUGUAUGAGAGGUGAAUCUCCUCACUGUCACUGCCAUAGCCAAGCAUUCUCGUGAGAGUGAGCACAUCGGCACAGCAUGCAUCCAGCUCUGGAGGCCACGGUGCAGGCAUAGCUGCCUACUUCUCUGGCAGAGGCCAGUAAAUACAGUUCCUAGAAGCAGCCUUUGCUGUCUUUUUACACUGUAUGCGGUUUGGAAAUGAAUGUAAAAACUUAUGUGGGCAUUUACCUUUCUGUGCCAGUUUGGCUUUUAUUGCCUGAACCUUAUGCUGACCUGGAGAGGAGAUGGGGGGGACAGCGCUGUUGUGGAGCCAGCAGUGAAUCUGUAUGCGGAGAGAGGUGUUGUGCUGAUGCAGCCAUUGGUGGUCAGGUAAGAGGCUUGGCACCUUCUUGGAAGAAAUCAUGUCUAAGGGUGUACGUUUGAUGUGAUCAUGCCAGAUCGGAGAAGAUCCAAGCCAGGAAGAUGGGCUUGAAGCAAACUGCAUUAUCAGGAGUACCUUGGUGAGAGGAUCAGUGUAAAUCCUAAUAGGUACAAAGACUUUUGUGUUUUGGCUUUGUCACAGAUUUAUUGAAAAACUUUUUUGCUUCUGCUUCAAUUUUUAGCAUUUUAGUUUCUGGUUUUCAUUUUUGGAGAUUCUUUGCCUUUUAAACUCAUGUGGUUUUUCUCUCGUUUUCUUCCCUCUCUCCAUCUCUGACUACCACCCCCCACCUCACCCUAACUCCCCACCCCCACCAUCCCUUUAAAGCCCUACCCCAGACAUUGGAAAUAGGUGACCCAAGUAGGGGGAGAAAGUAUUGUUGUUGAUAGCUUCUGACUAGGUGUUAAGGGAUCUUCAUUAUGAACAAGAUGAAAUUUUUUCAUGGAAACACUAGAUGUUAUCUGUCAAACACUAAAAUGUACCAUCCAAAUCCCUUAAGCCUCUCCUCAAAUAUUGAGCUUUAGUACAAUCAUGGAUAGACAUGCUGGUGAUUAUUUAGGGGCUUUUUAUACACCACGUUAUAGCUUCUUUCUUUAUAAAAAGAGUGCCUCUUUAAUAAAACCAAAUGCUUGUCUGCUAGCAUACUUUUCAAAGGGAAUCCACUGUUUUCUCACUUUCCUCCUGUGUCUAUGUCCUUCAUCCAGAACUUUCCCAAAAUCCAUCAGCAAGCAUGUUUGAGGCCUGUGGUGUAGGGGACUGAAUUUUUUUUAAAACUUCUACUCCAUUUUAAUUGUAGCAUCUCUCUGUCCAUAUACCCAGAUGUCCUGAUUUGAAUGUACUAUUUGAUCCUCAUCUUUGUUCAGGCAAAAAUAGGAAAUGAGUAAUUUUGAGUUUGAAAUCUCUCCUAGAAGACAAAUUACUUUGGUGGGUAAAAGCUUUGACAUUUUAUGUUUUAUUCAUAAAGGGGGUUAAUUAUUUGCCACAGAGAAGCACGGUCUGCUUUCAUCUUCAGUUUGAAAAUAUCUAACUCUAAUAGACCCUAUAGGCAGAGAGCUUUCCUUUCUGACUUUUUCCCUUUGCUUUUGUGUGACCACAUGUUUUCUGUACCAGUCACUGGGGAAAGAAGUGAGUUUAUCUCUUGUUUUAAAAGAAGUUUUGCUUGUCUAUUUAGCAUUCCUUUUCGGAUCUCAAGAUUUAUGGAACAAUAAAUGUCAUUUAAUGCUGUGUGCUUAUUUUGAAUUCUUCAUCAGGUUUUAGAAGCGGGGUAAAAAGAUGUUUAUCAAACUUGAAAUUAUACUGAGUGGCAUUGAACAUGAGUUUUUCCCAGUGAAACAGGCAAAAUAAAUUAUGGCACCAGCAAAUUUGUUACUUUGUUUUUUUAAUAGUAGGAUGUACACAUUUCAGGAUAAUAAAUGUUUUCUGAUUGAUUGUUUUGCAAA